Anas platyrhynchos (mallard) is the source of this 876-nucleotide long non-coding RNA. RefSeq lists it as uncharacterized. Lineage: Eukaryota; Metazoa; Chordata; Aves; Anseriformes; Anatidae. The record is from RefSeq and is a predicted model, not a curated record.
AGGGCAGAGGCACAGCAAGCAGUGAGUGCUUGGUCAAAGCUUCUGCACCCAAGGCCCUGGCAGGGGAGCUGCUCCCAUUACUUCUGCAUCACCCUGCAGACACUUGGAGGCCACAGCUAAGUGAUGGCAGAAGCCAAGGCACCCUCCUCAUCUGUCGGAUUGACUCAGCAGCCGGUCUGAGAAGUACGGAUGCCAGAUGCAAAGCUGAGAAAAAUAUGGAAGAAAGAAGGGAGAGAGAGAGAUCUUCAAUUACCCGAUGAGAGGGCAGAGAGAAGAUGGAGAUGACAGUUCUUGGAGGUACCUAAGGAAAGGACAAAAGGCAAUGUGCACAGGUUGCAACAAAGAAAAUACCUAUUUCCAAGGCAGUAGAAAAGACUUUGUUAUGGUGUCCAAGCAUUACAAAAACAACUUAAGCUGUGAAAUUUUUACUUUCAUGGACAGUCAAAAGUCAUCUGGGCCUGCUAGAAUUCACCUGGACUUUAUUCUGAGUGGGGGGGGGUUGACCAAACGAUGGUCAUAACACUAAACCAGCCACUUCUGAGCAUGUUAUUUGAGUUGUCCCCUCAAUUAUUGUUCCACCUCAGUAAGAAUGAAUGAGUGACCUAUUCAUGAAUGGGUAUGUAGAUAGACAGAUCGAUAGAUAUAUAGAUAAACCAAAUACAGAGGUGUCCUUAAACUCUUUGUUCUAGUGUCCCUGCAAGGUAUUACAGUGUUUACAUUUUUACUUUAUCUCCAGAGACCAGCAGGAGACUCAAGAGACCAUACUCAUAUUACUGUACUCCUUCCUAUUUAGGACAAAUUGGAGCAAGCUGACAGGCUCCAAGGAGAACUUGUACCUAUAAAUUGAUCUCCAAAUAAAGGCCUAUGUAUAAAACA